Molecule: ribosomal RNA, 497 nt
Filed under: uncultured bacterium
Lineage: Bacteria
Description: partial 16S ribosomal RNA
Rfam family: Bacterial small subunit ribosomal RNA
Source: RNAcentral
GAUGAACGCUGGCGGCGUGCCUUAUACAUGCAAGUCGAGCGAACGGGCGCGAAGCUUUCUUCUCUGAUGUUAGCGGCGGACGUGUUAGUAACACGUGGGUCACCUACCUAUAAGACUGGGAUCCCUUCGUUAACCCGUAGCUCAUACCGUCUACUAUUUUGAACCGCAUGGUUCAACAGUUAAAGCCGGUCUUGCGGUCGCUUAUAGAUGGAUCCACGCUGCAUUAGCUAGUUGGUCAGGUAACGGCUUACCAAGGCAACGAUGCAUAGCUGACCUGAGAGGGUGAUCAGCCACACUGGAACUGAGACACGGUCCAGACUCCUACGGGAGGCAGCAGUAGGGAAUCUUGCGCAAUGGGCGAAAGCCUGACGGAGCAACGCCGCGUGAGGGAUGAAGGUCUUCGGAUCGUAAAACGCUGUUAUAAGGGAAGAACAGAUGUGUAAGAAAAUGGGAGCAUCAUGACGGUACCUAAACAGAAAGCAACGGCUAACUACGUG